CCUACGGGAGGCAGCAGUGAGGAAUAUUGGUCAAUGGACGAGAGUCUGAACCAGCCAAGUAGCGUGAAGGAUGACUGCCCUCUGGUUUGUAAACUUCUUUUAUAUGGGAAUAAAACGUUCCACGUGUGGGAUUUUGUAUGUACCAUAUGAAUAAGGAUCGGCUAACUCCGUGCCAGCAGCCGCGGUAAUACGGAGGAUCCGAGCGUUAUCCGGAUUUAUUGGGUUUAAAGGGAGCGUAGGUGGAUUGUUAAGUCAGUUGUGAAAGUUUGCGGCUCAACCGUAAAAUUGCAGGUGAAACUGGCAGUCUUGAGUACAGUAGAGGUGGGCGGAAUUCGUGGUGUAGCGGUGAAAUGCUUAGAUAUCACGAAGAACUCCGAUUGCGAAGGCAGUUCACUGGACUGCAACUGACACUGAGGCUCGAAAGUGUGGGUAUCAAACAGGAUUAGAUACCCCAGUAGUC
Molecule: ribosomal RNA, 460 nt
Filed under: uncultured bacterium
Lineage: Bacteria
Description: partial 16S ribosomal RNA
Rfam family: Bacterial small subunit ribosomal RNA
Source: RNAcentral